GUGGCAGACAGCAACUUUUAUUUUCCCCAGCCACCAUAGCCCCACUCAAUAUGACAUUUAGACAGAUGAGCCAGCAAUACAGUAGUUACAUGUGUCUGGGAUUUGUUUUUUAAAUUAUAUGUACCGCUUUUAAUAGCCUGAUUACAGCUGUUCAGUAAGUGAUGCCUCUAGACUGAAGAGGACCGAAAUGAGAAGCAGGCCAGCUAAGAGGGCUGGGAGCAGCACGUUCCCCUUGUUAUUGCCAGCUAGUGGGGAGAGAACAUAUGGCCACUUUACAAAGACUAUUGUGACCAUGAAAUUUGGAAGCCAAGCAUAGGAUACCAGGAGAGGUUGGAUAGAAGCAAGAUUUAUCAGAAUUAGCCUUGGAAUCUCUGACUCAAGUAUGGACUAUCAUCAGCCAUUAGCACCAGACAAAAUGCAGCCACUGACAAUCUUCUGGGAUGCCGCUAAGUAUACUUGACCUAACAACUACCAGUAAAACUUUCUGACAUGUGCUUUGAUUCUAGAUUAUCAACUAAGAAUUCAGGGAAACAUUCUACUAAAUAACAUGUCCUAUGUAAGUGAGAUAAUUAUAACAGCCUCCUCACUAGGUUAUGGGCCCCCAAAUUUGUACUUUUCAGAUCUUUCUUCUACGUUGCAGUCAGACACAGAUUUGAUCACGCCACACCAUUGCUCAGAAUUCUUUGGAUGCAACUUACUGCCUAUAGGAUGAAGACCACACUCAGGCAUUUCCUUGAAUGCUGACACAAUCCUACCCCAACCUACCUCACGAUCUUCCUACUGCAUGCAUGCUCCCUUCAGAUCUAAUUGGCUUUUUUUCACUAAUGCCUGCACUUGACCUAAGUGAAGAUUCUGAAGCAGGAGAGAAACUGGUUUUCUAGGCCUAUCUUGAGUCUCUUUUAUCAUUGACCAUCUUUCGCUACCACAAAAGAAUCAUAUUCUAUUGCACAAGACCUAGUGGGCCUCAUUUAAGAUUUUGAACAUUAUUCCAACAAAAUUCCUAAAAUUUUAAGUUUGUACUUAUAUCAUAAAGCUAGACCUUGCAUUUAAAACUCACCUUUAGAAAACUUGCUUUAAAAAAACAAAAACAAGUAAUUUUGAUGAAUUUGGAAAUUCUGUGACUUAAUCUUAUCUGUUAUCUGAGUAAGAGUUUAAGCAACAGUGACACUGGAAAAUAAAAUGAUAUUUAUGUAUAAAACAAUGAUAAUACUAUAGAAUGUCAUCUUUCAGGGUAACAUUUGUUGAGUUACAGAACUGAUUCAUUGAUUGCACUAAAGUUAUACCAUUGAAUAACUUGCAUGGAGGGAAACCAGAAUUAUAACCACGGGUAAAAAUUGAUAUAUUAGAGGUGAAUUUUGGAAGAAAUAAAAAUGUAGAAGGCAAUUAUAAGGGGAGCACUUAAAUUAGGUAUGAAUGGUUUAUGCUAUUGAUUAAAGCAUUUUAAAAAUCAAUAAAAGAACACUUUGUACCAAGUAGCUUUCAGGAACUUUCAGGGAAGACCAUUUGAUUCAGUUCAAAAGUCAGAAGCCUCUGCCCUAACAGGUAAAAAGCGUGGUUCCAUCUCCUUUUUAAAAAUAAAGCAAAUAACUACAAUUUAGAGUCUAAAAUCAAGCAUUAAUGAUCUGCUCCAGUCAUUUUUUAAAGAAGCAAGCUAUAUUAAAAAUUUUGAUACUUAAUGUGAAAAUUAUAUUUUUAUUUAUAUUUUACUACAUGCUGUUAUCUUCUAAUAACAAUUCAUGCCUAAUUUAUGUGCUCCCCUUCUAACUGCUUUCUAUUUUUUUGCUUCUUCCAAAAUUCAUCCCUAAUGUAUCCAUUUUUACCUGUGGUUGUAAUUCUGAUGUCCCUUCUUGCAAGCUAUUGAACAGUAUAAAUUUUAUUAUCAUUUUUAAAAUUUUUUUAUGCGUUGAUAUUAAAUGUUUAUAUUUGUAAAGUACAUGAGAUGUUUUGAUACAGCAUGCCAUGUGAAAUAAACACAUCAUGGAGAAUGGGGUAUCCAUCCCCUCAAGCAUUUAUCAACAGUCUAACUGUCAUGCAGUUAUAAACUUCUUAGGAGAAGGAUCUCUUGUGUUAUAUAAAUUAUAAAAUUUAAUGCCAUAUCCUUGUACAAGGUAGGCUAACAAUGCCUACUUUGAAUUGUACUAUAUUCAUUCAAGAAGCUUUUUAAAUCUCAGGCUUUCUGACUCUUUGUUCUGCAUUUCUCCCCUUUCAACUAAAGAAUAUAUUUUAUAGGUGAGCUACAGGUGGUUGUAUGUAUGCAUCUGUCAGUCUUAUUCCUAGGAACCCAUUCGUGAUAGCUCUGCCACAUCCAUUUGACAAUAAACGACUCAAGUUCAAGAACGCUAACUGCUUUCUUGUCAACUUCUCUGAAAGUAUGUUUAAAACACAUUUUCCUGACUCAUACAUUUAGCUUAGCCAGGUCACCACCAGGCCCGGCCUUGAAAGCAGCAGAUGUUGACGGGUUAAUAAAAAAAAGAGUAUCAUGAGAAGUGGUGACCAAAGCCCUCUGCUCAAAAUCUAUCCUAAAAACUAUGGCUGACAUACUUGUGAAGUAUAUUAAAUGAGAACCUUUCUUGCUAUCUAAUUUGGGCUGAAAUUCCAGAGCCAAGAACUCUAAGUACCCUCACAUUCUAAAAUGAGUUGCAGAGUCCUUGCAGGCAUUCACAGAAGGAGACUCCAAACAGCCUUGGUGACUCCUAGGUAUCACCUACCCUAGGAAAAACCUACACUGCCAGAGUUUGGUGCAGCAGGACAAUGGGUGGUUCCUUUGGAAAGGGUGACCUCAAAGAAGACUUUGGUUCUCUUGGACUUUGCAUGAAAGUAACAGCCACAGGACAAUGUGAAUCCAACAAAUAACAUCUGUGGAAGUGGACUUCCAGAAUUCAGGCAUCAAGUCAUAAGCAACUGGCCAAAAGAGGCAGCACCUAUGUUGGAAAAAGUCAGUGAGAAGUCUCAGGAAAUGUGUAACAGUGUGUGCAUGUGUGUGUGAGUCUCCAAAAACUUCCCCAAAGAUUCAGGGAAGAAGGCAAUGAUUUGAAUAUUCAAUAAAACCCAAAGGUCACUUCUGUCUCAUAAAUCUCUCUCUGAACCUGUUUCCAACUUUGGAGAAGCCAGUGGCCCAGGAUGUUGGAAAAAAAAAAGUGUGGAAAAGUGAGUGGGGACAUUGGUAAAAGUUGAACUGUGUCUUCCCUAAGAUAGGGAAGCAAAGAAAUCAGAAAUGUUCAUUCGAAUGAGAGUUUGGGUGUGGAAUAUUAAACAGAACUACUCUUUCUAUUAACUAAAAUAUGUUACUGUUUAUUCAUACCUGAGAGUGACUGGAAAAGCUAGAGGACCUGCAAGAGAUAACUCAUGGGUAGAGAAAAAUGAACAAGCAGCUCCAAAUGAUAUUGAAAAAAGAAAUAAAGCACUUUUGGAAUUUUGUCUCUAAUACACCAGUUUGUUCCAUAAAUUUGUUGUAUUUAUUUCUUAGUUUUGUCUAAUGCUUGGAAGGCACUGUUAAAAAAAAAUUAUCUAUGCUGAGCCAUCAUACCUGAACUAUCAGAACUCCUUCAGUUGCAAAACAAAACAAAAAACAACUCAAACUAGAUUUAAAAAUAGACAAAUGUCUUGGUCCACAUAACUUAUAUGGCUUCGUGCACAAUUGAAUCCAGUGGCUAAAGUAAACCAUUAGGAUUUUCUUACUCUGUUUGUCAUCUCUGUUGGCUCUCUUUAUGUCUCCUACAGAUGCUUUCCUCUCUGUGAUUUUGCAUCUGUUAUUCCUCAGCAACAAAUAUAAACUAUUAGAGAACUUUCUUGGAUCAUGUGCCUAUCACUAAUGCAAUCACUGGAAACAAGAGAAGGGGGUCUCUGAUUGGCCACCUGGUCCUAUGCCCACCUCUAUGAUGAUGGUGGCACUGGUGGCACCAUGACUGAUGUUCUCACCAAACCCACAUGGAGUUGUGGAAAAGUGGAUGGCUGGAACUCAAAAGAAAAGUGAAUUGCUGUAACCAGAGAGGAAGGUAGGCAAAAACAACAGAUAUUCCCUACAAUUACCUAAGCUUGUUGUACAUUACAGUGCAUAGCUAGCCAGCUGGGAGUCUAGGAUUAAGCUUGGAUUUCUGCCCUCAAUGAGUAAAAAUAUCUGGGUAGAAAACAGAAGAUUGCAGCAAAAUUUCCCAGAUUAUGUUCUAUGAUGUUUUAAGAAUAGAUUCACAAUUUCUUUUACACUCUUCCCUUCCAACAGAGGACCAUUAUUCUGUCCUCUUGAGGGUGGGCUGGACCUCAUGACUCACUUUUGAUAAACAGAAUGUUGUCAGCAUGAUACUAUUUGACUUCUGAGGCUAAGUCAUUAAAAAAAGGAUAGUUUCUGCUUGUCUCUCUCCUAUCACUUGCUUUGAGAGAAGCCGGUUAUCAUGUCAUGACGACUCAAGCAUCUUGUGGCCAGAUCCACAUGUAAAUCUUUCUAAACUGAAAUCUUUUGCCAAAAGUCAGCAUCAACUUGCCAGUUACCUUGGAAGUCACCUUGGAAGCUGCUCCUCCUGCCCCAAUCGAGGUUUCAGAUGACUACAGUCAUGGUGAGCAUCAUGGCUGAACCUUAUGAGAGAGCCCAUGCUAAAAUUAUCCAGUAAAACUGCUUCUAAAUUCUUGAUCCAUAGAAACUGUAAGAAUAGUAAAUACUGAUUGUCAUUUUAAAUCACUACGUUUUAGGGUCAUCUGUUGUGCAGUAAUAGUUAAAUAAUACAUGGGUAUCCCCCAAGAUGAUAACAGAUGCUCUAUGAAACAAGUCAGGUAAGUGUGGUUAAGCAUGUUUUAGCAGCUAUCUUUAUCAUGGGACUUCUCAGAACCUUAAAAGGUAAUAUAAUUGUCAGUUUCCAGAGGGAGAGAAAGAGAGAGACACAGAGAAAGAGAGACAGAUGUAAUAUGCAAUUUCUUAAACUUCUUUGACAAAAAAAUGCCUUUAUUUUUCAUGGAAAACCUAUUAAUAUCUCUGAAAUUCUAGUGUUUCUAGGACAUUUGAAAAACUCUAGACUAGAUACAUGUACUGGAGAAGAUUACCCGGGACAUUUUUGCUUCUUAAAGAGCAACAUCAUAUCUUAGGUAAAAAUCCGAAUAACAGAUUAACAGGUCCAGGAUUAGGAUGACACAAGUGAGGUACUCAUCUCAGUAACCACAUUUAAAGAAAUGACAAAAAGCUCAGUAGUCAAAAUAAAAAUACUGUAUUGCAACAUUUUUUUAAAACCAAAAUUUAUGUAUGAAAAUCCAUGAUGAACAAAAUAUCAAAAUUUUAAAUAAAGGCUAAUUUAAAAUCAGUCAAAUGUUAUUUCAUUGGUUUGUCUUAUGAUCCUGCAUUAGUAUGCAAUGAAAACAGUUAUUUCUGAUCAGUCCUGAUUCCUUGUCCACAUCGUGAUCACAUUCCCCUCCAGUCAGGUUAAUUUAACAAUAGUGUGCAAAGAGAUUGGCAAUACAGUGUUUUACAUAUAUUCACUUUUAGAAAUGUAGUUUCUAUUAACUUUUGCACUUGGUUCAAGUUAUGAAAAAAAUAUUUUGGUAAGUGGAUAGAAGCGCGUAGUUUCCCUUUUGCUUAGGUUCCAACAGGGCUCAGAAGGGCAUCGUAGGCCAGUAACCUUUCCAGUCAAGGUACAUUAUAUGAUAUAGGUAUCUUGUAUUCUGUGGGAGUAGGAGUAGGAGUUUUCAGGUUUUCUCGUAAAGUUGACACCACAGAUGGGCUUUUAUUUCUGAAGUUUCUUAAGCAGGAUCCAUGACAUCAUCCUGAAGCUUUGAGUGAAUGUAACACAGGGCAGAGAGUUCUGAUGAAAAAGAAAUAUCUAGAACCCAUAAGGAGAUCAAGCCUGAUCAGCAGCACCAUAGACACGCAAAAGCAUCUUGCACAGCACUGUGGAUUAAAUUUUAUGGUCUUCCAUGCAAAUUCAUUGCACAACAAAAAUAGUUUCUCAUUUGUCUGUUUGUUAAUUCACAAAUGAAAAAUUACCACACAGACAUUUUUAACAUUGAAAUGAUGCCUUUUUUGUCUUUUUCUUUCUUUCUUCAAUCUCCUUUG
This 6034-nucleotide long non-coding RNA is filed under the name Homo sapiens (human). RNAcentral's name for it is "HSALNT0380587". The record is from RNAcentral. Lineage: Eukaryota; Metazoa; Chordata; Mammalia; Primates; Hominidae.